Long non-coding RNA from Dicentrarchus labrax (European seabass), 335 nucleotides. RefSeq lists it as uncharacterized. NCBI's taxonomy places the organism in Eukaryota, Metazoa, Chordata, Actinopteri, Moronidae. The transcript is spliced from 3 exons. The record is from RefSeq and is a predicted model, not a curated record.
CUUGUUUCCUGCAGAGCCGAGCGGUGACGGACGUGAUUAAGUUCAUGAGAGCUCAACAAGCUUCUCCACUGUGGCUUGGGGAGGGUGAGACAGUUCACCUGGACUCUAUGGGGAGAAAGAUGAACUCUUCUGGUCUACCAUCUGCUCACCAGUCCACCUUUGGAACGCUCCCCUGGUCCCGUCAAGCUCUUGGCCUCAUCCUCCCCGACUGAAGAUCAGCCAGAUAACAUUACCUCCUGACCAAUCAGGCGCCUGGAUCCAUACCUCAUCCCACAGGCAUUACGUGAAGAGAAGGUGCUCCUAAUCGCCGUGGAAUCUGCGAAGAUCCAGCAAAA